Pelobates cultripes (western spadefoot toad) is the source of this 305-nucleotide non-coding RNA. The record is from the annotation of a GenBank genome assembly. NCBI's taxonomy places the organism in Eukaryota, Metazoa, Chordata, Amphibia, Anura, Pelobatidae.
GAGGUAGCCAACAAAUACAAAAACACACACAACUCUGUUCCGCAGGGUAGCUGUUGACAUUAUAGUUGUGCAGGAACUUUGUUGACUCUAGAGAGCCUCGGGCAAAUCGCAUAUCCCCGUGGCGGCGACUUUGCAUGCGGAUGUCAUCCAUAUCAACUUUCGAUUCCAGUUUCUGCGCCUACCAUGGUGACCACGGGUAACGGGGAAUCAGGGUUCCAUUCCGUACAGGGACCCUGAGAAAUGGCUACCACAUGCAAGGAAGGCAGCAGGCGCGCAAAUUACCCACUCCCGACGUGGGAAGGUAG